GCUUUUAAAGAAAAAAGAAUAUCACUGGCCUUAGGAGCCAACUUUCUUGGUGCAAAUCCAAGUAAAAGCU
RNAcentral lists this transfer RNA (70 nucleotides) under Batrachomoeus trispinosus (three-spined frogfish). Its description in RNAcentral is "tRNA-Leu(CUN)". It matches the Rfam family "tRNA". From Rfam's summary of the family: Transfer RNA (tRNA) molecules are approximately 80 nucleotides in length. Their secondary structure includes four short double-helical elements and three loops (D, anti-codon, and T loops). Lineage: Eukaryota; Metazoa; Chordata; Actinopteri; Batrachoidiformes; Batrachoididae. The record is from RNAcentral.